RNAcentral lists this ribosomal RNA (118 nucleotides) under uncultured Microsporidia. RNAcentral's name for it is "partial small subunit ribosomal RNA". It matches the Rfam family "Microsporidia small subunit ribosomal RNA", at positions 23 to 143 of the family's 1311-position model. The record is from RNAcentral. Lineage: Eukaryota; Fungi; Microsporidia.
GCGGACGCUCGUCUCGGAGACUAAGCCAUGCAUGCCCGUGACCGCAAGCGAACGGCGAACGGCUCAGUAAUGCCGCGAUGAUCUGCCCCCCGCGCACGAUAACCGCGGGAAACUGCGG